Rhinopithecus roxellana (golden snub-nosed monkey) is the source of this 666-nucleotide long non-coding RNA. RefSeq lists it as uncharacterized. The record is from RefSeq and is a predicted model, not a curated record. NCBI's taxonomy places the organism in Eukaryota, Metazoa, Chordata, Mammalia, Primates, Cercopithecidae. The transcript has 4 exons.
GUGGGAUCCGCCGCGUCCUUUCUCUGUCCGCGCCACCGCCGCCGUCUCCGGGGGCCCCCGCGCGCGCUGCUCCGGGUGCUCUCGCUUACCGCUGCCCAGGAAACUGACGGAGCAGUAGCGCGGCGGCGAGGCUCGGAGCCAGGCGAGUCAGCUGAUCCGGCCCACCCCGCUCGGCACUCGAGAGGGACCCCUAGCGGCGCCGCCGGGUAGCUGCGCCCGCUCGCGCCGGGAGGGGCCCGCGCCCCGCGCCCACAGGUGCAGCGCCCUAGGCGCCGCCAGCACUCCACGCGCCCCCCUCAGCUCCCCGGCCGACGGCCCACCUGGGCUUCCGGAACGGUGGGAGGGAGAGUCUGGGGUCAGGAGAGGGACGGUGCAGGAUCAGGGAAAGUUUGAAGAUCAUUCAACUCAACAGAAAAAAAAAAAAAAGAAAGGAAAAGAAAUGGAAGAGAUCAACUUUCUCUCUGUCCUGUAAAGAUCUGCUGGGCAGGCCUGAGCUGAGAAAUGAGGGAAGGCAGACAUAUGUAUGAGCACCUAUGCAGAGAGAUACAGGAUCUCACUCUGUUGUGGGAGCACAGUGGCAAAUCAUGCAUUAUUCACUGCAGACUUGAACUCCUGACCUCAAGUAAUCUUUCUACCUUAACCUCCCAAAGUGCUGGGAUUACAGGG